Non-coding RNA from Phascolarctos cinereus (koala), 490 nucleotides. The record is from RefSeq and is a predicted model, not a curated record. Lineage: Eukaryota; Metazoa; Chordata; Mammalia; Diprotodontia; Phascolarctidae.
GAGAUUUGAACUCAGAUCUUCCUGAAUCCAAGGCUGGGAGCACACUGGGAGCUAGACAAUCUGUGAGUGGCUCUGGCACUGACUUAUGGAUUCCCUUGUCCGCAGUUUCAUACUUUUUCAGACAGAGGCAGAGAGCUUCUUCCGCAGCAUGGCUGGGCACCGUGCCGCAGCCACUAUGAAGAAAAUACAUCACAAUCUUGAAGAAAGCUUAUGAGGACAUCCUUCCAAAACCCUCUACAGAUGGGAGAGUCAAGAUAUUCUGCCAUCCUCACACACAAUGAAGAAAAUGUAAUCGAUUCACUCAUCCCUUACAGCCCCAACCUGUGAUCCUGUAACAACACAACAUGGGAUUAAGCACAGUAAGGCUUAUCGCUCAGGAUCUGGCUCAAGAGAAAGGUUUUAUUUUACUUUUUUUUGUCCAUUGCAGCUUUAAAGUCUAUCUACUAAGCAGCUAAGACUUGCUUCCACACAAGGGUCUACUAAGACUGAA